CAGUAGCCGCGGGAAUACGUAGGUGGCAAGCGUUGUCCGGAAUUAUUGGGCGUAAAGGGCGCGUAGGCGGACUGAUAAGUCAGGGGUGAAAUCCCAAGGCUCAACCUUGGAACUGCCUUUGAUACUGUUUGUCUUGAGUUCGAGAGAGGUAAGUGGAACUGCGAGUGUAGAGGUGAAAUUCGUAGAUAUUCGCAAGAACACCAACGGCGAAAGCACUCUGCUGGGCCGACACUGACACUGAGAGACGAAAGCUAGGGGAGCAAAUGGGAUUAGAUACCCCGGUAGUCCCUGUCUCUUAUAC
Molecule: ribosomal RNA, 301 nt
Filed under: uncultured bacterium
Lineage: Bacteria
Description: partial 16S ribosomal RNA
Rfam family: Bacterial small subunit ribosomal RNA
Source: RNAcentral